UUUGACCUCGAAUCAGGUAGGGAUACCCGCUGAACUUAAG
RNAcentral lists this ribosomal RNA (40 nucleotides) under Fusculina eucalyptorum. RNAcentral describes it as "partial 28S ribosomal RNA". Lineage: Eukaryota; Fungi; Ascomycota; Dothideomycetes. The record is from RNAcentral.